Molecule: transfer RNA, 73 nt
Filed under: Paramuricea clavata
Lineage: Eukaryota; Metazoa; Cnidaria; Anthozoa; Malacalcyonacea; Plexauridae
Rfam family: tRNA
About the family: Transfer RNA (tRNA) molecules are approximately 80 nucleotides in length. Their secondary structure includes four short double-helical elements and three loops (D, anti-codon, and T loops).
Source: Rfam by way of RNAcentral
GACCGCGUAGCUCAGUUGGCAGAGCAUUGGGCUAGUAUUCCAUAGGUCGUAGGUUCGAUUCCCACCGUGGCCG